RNAcentral lists this long non-coding RNA (5797 nucleotides) under Gossypium barbadense (sea-island cotton). RNAcentral describes it as "long non-coding RNA (GBAR_LNC022758)". The record is from RNAcentral. Lineage: Eukaryota; Viridiplantae; Streptophyta; Magnoliopsida; Malvales; Malvaceae.
CGCCAUCCCCAUACCGAUAAAUAUUACUCUUAACAGGACCGGAGCUUAUUAAUUCAUUUCUACUAUCGCCGAUAACUGUUGGAACGGGCAAAAGCUCAACAUCACAGUCGGAGAUGAGAGCAACCCUACCGCUGCUGUUCCCGCAGCUGGACCGAGUCUCACCACCUCGCCUGGAACUUCAAUUCCUCCUCUUGUGACCAACUCAGCUUCUUCCCUUGUUUCUACUCUGUCUCCUGUCUUCUUCAUGGCCAUUGCCUUAGUUUUGAUGUGCUGAUUAUGUUAUUAAUUCCAUUUUGCAGUUUUUGUUAUUUGAUGUUAUGUGAGAUGAGAUCCAUUGUUUUACUAUGAUGGUGAUAAUCGUAUUUGUAAUGUUAUUUGAAUAAAAUUUGAUUCAUUUUUCUACAUACAUGUCAUUUUAUUUUGUAAAAUUAUAGUAGAGGUCCCUAUAUUAAAAAUUGGAUUACAUUUUAUUUUUUCUAUAUACAAUAUCAAAGAACAAAUUAAUCUUUUUUUGUUAAAAUUUUAUCUAUUUGUACUAUUAAAAAUUGAUAUGGCUAACAAAAUAAACAAUUAGUGACAUGUGGCGUGUCCCAUAUACCUCACGUUGACCUAUAAUAAUCAGUUUUAAUUAGCAAUAAAGGAUAAAUUUGUUAACAGAAUGACCAAUUUGCUCUUGAGUCUAAUUUACAAAGACUAAUUUAUCCAUUUUUUAGUAGAAUGAGCAAAAUGUAAUCUAACUCAUAGUACAAGAUCCUCCAAAAUACUUUUAUCCAAACAAUUUAUAAAUGUAACACAAUAAUUAUUUUGUAUUAAAAUUUUGGGGUUAAUGAAUCGAGUUUUAAUUUAAUUGGUAUUAGCGUUAUUAAAAUAUUUAAGAGAAUGUGAAUUCAAAACGGAUUUAAGGGUUUAGAGAUUUUGAAUAAAAAUAGACAAAAAUAUAUGUAACUUUAGAGUUAAAAUUGAAUAUUCUGUAUCGAAAGAGUUUAAUAUAAUUAUUAUUUUUCAGAGGUACCAAAAAUAUAUUUGUUUCAUUUUACGAAGGAGUUUAAAAGCGUAAGUUAAAUUAUUUAAAAAGAUGAAAAGCCGAUGCUAAAAACAUUUUAGCUCAUUUAAGAUUCAAUUUAUUUCAGUUUAUUUGUCCUUAAAAAAUGAUUUGCUAAUUUUAUAAGAGACUAAAAGUGUAGUUUUUAUUUAAUUAAAAGGGUCUAGGCUUUUGUCUGUCUUGACUUCAUCCCUGCUUAUGAAUAUAUAUAUUAAAAUUUUAUAUUUUCAUUCUCAUAUUUGAAUUCUUUAAAGCUGUAUAGAGUCUAGAUGGUAAACCAAAAAUAGUUUUUUUGAAGAACAGGAUUUAGAUGGUCGGUGUAGUGCGUUUAAAUUAUUUUUUGUCUUAUGUUAUAGUAUCGUUACAGUAUUUAAAUUCACAAUCAUCGUUGUUUUUAUACUAAUCGCAGGUAAAUACACCGUCCAUCCAAACCCACUAUUAAAAUAUUGAAGCCCUUGUAACAAAGGUAAAUUAUAUUAAAGUCACCUAAUUAUGUCUUUUUUUGCUAUCUAGUUAUGAAAAAUUACAAAAUAGUGACCAAAUUAUUCAAUUUUCUCUUUUUGGUCAUCUGAUUGUAUUAGAUUUUUUAGUGUUUUUAUUUUUAUGAUACUCAGUUGAUGAUUAACAAAACAAAUUUAAAUAAUUAAGUGAUCAAUUUAUAGCUUCUUAUAAAAGGAUGAAAAAAUUAUAGUUCACCCUUGUAAUAAAAUCAAACAUGAAAUUUCUUAGGUAUUUCGUUCACUAAAAUCAAAAUUCUAGUUAUAGUCAUGCUGAUGUUAGUGAAUGGAGACAAUAUUGGCAGGUGAAGGCACUAAAUGUCUUUUAUUGUAGAAAUUAAUGCAGAAAACCCAGAAAAAACACCAAAACUAAGCAAAAUCUUCAAUGAUUGAUUGAUUCCAACUUUGAAAUUAUAAUUUGAUCCAAAGUCUAAGUUUAAUAAAAUUCGUAGUGAAAAAUAUAAGUUUGAAUUUUGGAGGCAACAUUGUUAGAAGAGCAAUUACGAACCCCGAAUAUUGACCAUAAAACAGAUAUGCAUGCAUAAUAUCAAAAAAUUCAAUAUUCUAUCAACAAAUCACAUAAUUGUUCAUGGGCUCCUUUAACUUUAAUAAUUUAUCAAAUAAUCAUGUUUUAUAUCUUUAAUUAUUCAUUUUACCUUCUAAAUAUAAAAGUACGUAUUAUCAUUUUUUUUUGUAUCAUUCAACUUUGUUUUAUGGUUUAUAUUUAGGGUUCGUGACUAUCAUUUUUUAUAAUGUUUUGAACCCCUUUCAACCCUGGGCCUUGGACGGCCACACCUCCAGAUGACCCCAAGGCCGAGCCUGAUUGAGCUAGGCUUCACAAAUGUAAAAAAAUUGAAUUAUGCAAUCAAUUUGUUAUCCUUUAUUUUGUUUUGUUUUUCGAAAUGCUUGAAAAAGUGUUCACCUCCACAAUCACUUUUGCUCAUACUCUGUAUCUUGCAAUUAUCAACUAGUUCAUAUAAAAAAUUCAAAUGAAAAUCACUAAAAAAAUCCAAAUAUAAAUAUUGUCAUAUAAAUAGCCAUAAACAAUAUUAAUCUAAAUUUUACAUUUUCUUGUCAAAGAGACUUUGGCUUAAUAGCAUUUGAACCUUUAUAAGAUUCAAACGUUAUGUAAAUCAUUCCCACCAUACGUGGACUCUAUUUAGAUAUAUGCUACUUUUCAAUUCAUUCUUCCAUUGUAAUAAUUUGAGGAUAAUGUUUUAAAAAUCGGAUCGGUAGUUGAAUUUGUUAAACUAUUGGUUCGUAAUUCAAUUGGUCCAAUCGUACAAUUAAAAAUUAUUAAAAAAUUAAAAAAAUAUAAAAUUAAUUCAACUGACUUUUUGUUCUGAAUUAAUUAGUUUCAAAUGAUUCACUCAAAAAUUAGUUUAACUUAUUUGUUGGGUCCAAUUCUAUGGAAGUGAUUCACACAAUAAUUAUACCGAGAGCCACACGGAAGUGAGUUGAUUAAUAAGCUUGAAGUCGCGUAUAGUUCAGAUGGAGCCUCUAGCUUAUGGAGAAGGGGAUUUAUAUAAAGUGUGUAAUCUAAUAUGGAUCCUACGACGUGAAUGCCCUAUUACAUAUAUUCAAGUGUAGAGUAGUGAUUGAUUGGAAAGAUGCCAUCUGAGCUAGGGGUGUGCAAAAUUCGGGUAAAACAGAAAAAAUUCGAUUAACCGACCGAAUUCGGUUAAUCGGUCGGUUAAUCGAAUUUUUUCGGUCGGGGGGUCGGUUAAUUAUUUUUUGAUUUUUCGGUUAACGGUUAAUUCGGAUCGAAACCAGUCGGUUAACCGAAUUUUUUCGAUUUAACUGAAAAAAUUAAUAAAUAAAAUUAUAAUAUAUAAAUAGACCCACUAUUCACCUAAACUCAAUCUAAACCCAAGUAUUCAACCCAACCCAACCCAAUCAUAAAAAUUACAAAUAAUUUAAUAAAUAAAAAUAAAAUUCUAAAACUAAGACUAAAACUAAAGUCUAAAAGACUAAAAAUAAUUUAAUUAUGUAGUGAUUCAAUUUGGUUAAUACGGUUAAUUCGGGUAAUUCGGGUAAUUUUUAACCAAAAAUAAAAAAGCAUAUAAUUUUCAGUUAAUUCGUUUAACCGACCGAAUUAACUGAAAAAAUUUCGGUUCAGUUAAUUUUUUUGAAAAAAAUUUCGGUUCGAUUAACGGUUAAAGAUUUUGAAAGGUCGGUUAAUUCGGUUAAUGUUAUUUCGGGUCGGUUAACCGAAUGAACACCCCUAAUCUGAGCUGACUUGAUGUAACCAGCUAUAGCUAAAUUCAAUCGUGAGAAGUUGGUGUCGGGAUGUGACAAGGCAACAAGUUACUUUAAUCUUAGUUUUAGAGGCGUCCAUGGCAGGUUGGUCCAAUUAAAAUUUUAGGUUUGUUUCGGUUUGAAAAUUGAUUUUAAAAUUUUGAUUAAAUUUAAUUCAGAUAAAAUAUUAAAAUUUAGGUUCAGUUUGAUCCGAUCGUAUUAAUUUUUAUAUUAUUUUAAAAAAUUAUAUAUAAAAAAAUUCUAAAAAUCUUAAAGUAGAUGUGUAGAGUUAAAUAACACUAAAAUAUGUACAGUUUAACAAGUAAAUGCUCCUAAAAUAGUAACAAAAUUAAUAAUAAAAUAAUAGUAACAUAAUAGUGAAAUAGCAAUAAAAUAGUGAGAAAACAUUAUUUAGACAAUAUUAUCUUAUGCCUGACGAAACAAAAUAAUAACAAUCUAAUAGUGAAAUUAUAGCAAAUUCAAGUCGAGCUGGGCUCAGGCCAAAAAAGCAAAAAAAGCCUUACUCGAGACUCGACUAUUAAAUUCAUUUUUCGAAACUAUAUUUUUAUCUAAAUCUUUUAUUUUUGAACGAACCUUCUACCCGAGUCAUAAAUAGGUUUACUUGGUUGUAAUGGUUGUUGAUUCAUACAACACUAUUUAGACAAUAUUAUAUUAUUUGAGACGAAAAAAAAGAGCCAUAUCUUUUCGGAAGGAAUUGAUGAGACCGUGUUUAAAAAAGUUGGUAUGGAUGUAACACUUGUCUUGAAAAGACCCAUUGACCUUUCUUUAAUCGUUCCAAGCAUUAAAGGAUGGUGUGCCUACUGUUGUAGUCCCUUUGCAAUGUUAAAGUUAGGGUUUUAAUCCUACUUUAAUUACGCUUUUAAUAGAUUAAAAUAUGAUUUUGAUCGUAUAAAUAAAUAUUUUUUAUUUAUUUUACUAUUUAUGAAAUUUUAAAAUUUGUACGAAUUUUCUAAGUGUACUUUUGCCAAUAUGGAUGCCAUUCAAUAACUGCCCCCACCCACGACCCUAAAUAACUCAAUUAUGGUCUCUCUUCACACAUGGGAAACGACUUUUAAUUAAUUGACCCAUAAGCAUGAGCUUUUUUCAUCAUCUUCCAAGAAAGUUACACAGAUCCAUUAUUCUAUAUAUAUAUGUUCCAUUGGUGAAGAUGAAGAUAUACAAAUUACACAUUACAUUUGAAAACUAGAGGCACAGAUCUAAGAGAGGGGCGACUGAGAAGUGAGAACACAGCAAAUUUUCAAUGAGUGGGAAAAUCACCAUGGCCAUGGCUGCACUUUUUGUAGUUCUAGCUGCAAAUGUGUUGCAGAGUACAAAUGGUGCAACUUAUACAGUGGGUGACUCUACUGGCUGGAGAGUCCCUGCCAAUAAUGAUUUCUACGAUGAUUGGGCUGAUAACAAAGCCUUCGUUGUUGGGGAUGUUCUCGGUGAGUUUUUGAGCUUUAAAAUCUUUGUUAAUUGAGCUUGUUGAUUCGGAAUUUGAUAUUUUUAUACGUGUGGUUUUGCAGUGUUCAAUUUCACUACCGGACAACAUGAUGUUGCAGAGGUGACGGAAACUGCUUACGAUGCGUGCACCACUGCCAAUACUAUAUCAACCGUCAGCACCGGUCCGGCAAGGAUUACUCUUAACAGGACCGGCGAAUUUUACUUCAUUUGUGCUGUCCCCGGUCACUGUUCCGGCGGGCAAAAGCUCAACGUCGAAGUCAGAAAUGGGAACAACGGUACCGCUGCUGUUCCCGCACCUGGACCGAGUCCCACCACCACGCCUGUAGCUACCAGCCCCACCACCAGUACGCCUCCGACCGCUGCCACGCCCACCUCGCCUGGAACUUCAAGUCCUCCUCCUGGGACCAACUCAGCUUCUUCCCUUGUUUCUACUCUGUCUCCUGUCUUCUUCAUGGCCAUUGCCUUAGUUUUGAUGUGCUGAUUAUGUUAUUAAUUCCAUUUUGCACUUUUUGUUAUUUGGUGUUAUGUGAGAUGAGAUCCAUUGUUUUACUAUGGU